CUGGGGCCCCCUCUCUACGAGACUGUUCAUGUUCCGUCUGCACAUGCAGAUGUGUCUGAAGAUGAAGUGUCUCCUCAGGACCUGUUUGCAGCAGAGCAGGUGCAGAAUCACACACUAUAUGGAUCCAUAGUGUUUGCUCACGUAUCGUUCAUGUGUGUUCAUGCAUAUUACACGAGUUAUAUGCACAAUAUGUAAUAAUCCAUAAUCCAUCAAGAUACGUGUACAUAUAAAUGCAGACAGGCACACAGACAUCCAUAUCUGUAGGUAUACACACGCAUGUACACAUGCCCACAGGGCAACCGCAAUCUCCACUGCCUACAUUCCAGUUCUGCCCUCUUCUCCUUGUGCUUUUUUUUUUUUUUUUUUUUUUGAGACAGAGUCACGUUCUGUUUCCCAGGCUGGAGUGUGCAGUGGCAUGAGCUCAGCUCACUGCAACCUCCGCCUCCCAGGUUCAAGUGAUUCUCCUGCCUCAGCCUCCUGAGUAGCUGGGAUUACAGACACGCACUACCAUGCAGGGGUAAUUUUUGUGUUCUUAGUAGAGAUGGGCUUUUGCCAUGUUGGCCAGGCUGGUCUUAAACUCCUGACCCCAAGUGAGCCACCGGCCUCAGCCUCCCGAAGUGCUGGGAUUGUAGGUGUGAGCCAUGACGCCUGGCUUCCUUGUGCUUCUUGAUUGCUUUAAUUUCUGAGAGAAAUCUGCAAAGACUUCAGCAAUGGCUGUGACUUUGCCAGUUUCUUCUUGAAUUUCCAUUUUGCCUUAUAAAUUUAAGAAUUUUGCCUUAUAUAUUUAUAUAUAGUUUUUGCCUUAUAUAUUAUAAUAUUAUAAUAUCCAUGUUACAUAAUAGACCAUGAUCAUAGUAUCUUCCUAAUGCAUUUGUACUUUUAUCCAAUUACACUUUCCUCUUUGUUCCUUAAAAGGACAAACUUAGCCUUCCGUUCUGUUGGUCUGUGAUGACCGUUUCCACGUCCUGCUUUCUGAGAGCAUUUGCCUGGUGUAGACGUCCCCGUUUUCAGCGGUUAUGCGUCCCUCUAGUUUCGGUGAUGCCCUGAGGUUUACUUCCUGCAUUUUUAAGCCCACGUUUCCCCAGCACUCAUGUGUGGCCAGCGUCUGAUUCUUCCUCCAGAGCAAGACAGGGAAGCCACUGCACUUCAGCUGCCUUCACAAGUCUCCUCUGCCACCCCCGCUGAGGCCGUCUGGAAGUUUAAUUCUAGGCUAUUAUUAAAUUUCUAUAAAAUUGUUUCAACUUUACUGAGAUAUAAUUCACAAAUAGGAAUUGUGUAUAGUUAAGGUGUAUGACUUGAUGUUCUGAUACACGCUGUGAAUGAUCACUGCAGUCAAGCUAUUUCACAUGCUCACACCUCACAGUGACUACCAAGUUGGUGAAAAGAGUAACUGCGGUGUUUGCAAUUAGAAGCAAUUAUUUUUGCACCAACCUAAAAUAUUUUCUUUUUUUUUUUUUUUUUGUCGCCCAGCCUGGACUGCCGUGGUGAAAUCUUGGCUCACUGCAGCCUCUGCUUCCCAGGUUCAAUCAAUCUUGCCACCUCAGCCUCCCCAGUAGCUGGGACUAUGGGCACGUGCCACCAUGUCCAGCUAGUUUUUUUUGUUUUUUUUUUUUUUUGUAUUUUUAGUAGAGAUGGGGUUUCGCCAUGUUGCCCAGACUGGUCUUGAACUCCUGGCCUCAAGUGAUCCACCCACCGUCGGCCUCCCAAAGUGCUGGGAUUACAGGCAUGAGCCACCGCACCAGCUUCUUUUAUUUUCUUUGUGUGUGUUGAGAACACUUAAGAUCUAUCCUCUCAGCCCAUGUCCAGCAUCCAGUACAGCAUUGUUAACCAUGGCCACCUAGGACAGCGCUCCCCAGAAACUGAAUUUGCCAGCACCUUGAUCGUGGACUUCCAGCCUCCAGAACAGCGAGAAGAAUCGCUUCUAGGUUUUGACCAGCCGGCCUGUGGCAUUUUGCUACAACAGCCUGGGCAGCCUGCAGUGCUCUGUGCUUUGUUCUCUUUCAUUUUGUUUUGUUUUCUGUAAUUCACCUUUGAGAAACUCGUUCAGGAAGGAUGCAUGGGUGACAUUUUCUGCAUCCUCACAUUUUGUCACUGGGUGUGGCCGGGUCUGUGAGUCUAGACACAAAGCCAGUCACCUGGGGACGCUGCCACCUGAAGGCCUGCGUGGCCGGGUCUGUGACUGUAGACACAAAGCCAGUCACCUGGGGACGCUGCCACCUGAAGGCCUGCGUGGCCGGGUCUGUGACUCUAGACAAAAAGCCAGUCACCUGGGAACUCUGGGACACCCUCUUCUCUCACCCAUUGCUGUGGGGAAGCCUGGGGAUGGGUUUUCUUGUUUUGGUUUUUUAUCAUGUUGGUGUUUUGUUUUGUUUUUUUUUUGAGAUGGAGUUUCCCUCUUGUCUCCCAGGCUAGAGUGCAAUGGCGUGAUCUCGGCUCACUGCAACCUCCGCCUCCUGGGUUCAAGCGAUUCUCCUGCCUCAGCCUCCUGAGUAGCUGGGAUUACAGGCAUGCACCACCACGCCUGGCUAAUUUUUGUAUUUUUAGUAGAGACGGGGUUUCACCAUGUUGGUCAGGCUGGUCCCGAACUCCUGACUUCAGGUGAUCCACGCACCUCGGCCUCCCAAAGUGCUGAGAUUACAAGCAUGAGCCAUCGCACCCAGCCCAUAGUGGUUUUUAAAUCUUUCCUUUUGCCCUCAUUGUUCUAAAAUUUUAUGAAGAUGAAGACAUAUCUCGUGUCUCAUUCACGGAGAGCCGAUUCUGUAACAGCCGCUGCUCUGGGCGCCGGGAGAAACCGUGAGGAGCAGGCAGAGCUUCCGUCGCGGGGCCCACAGGGCCCAGGUGUGCAUUAUUUCCCUCCCAUCAAUCCUGUUCUUCUUCUGAAACUCUCAGUGUGCAGAUGUUGGAAUGUCUGGCUUCGUCCUCCAUUUCCUUUUUUUUUUUUUUCAUACUUUCCCUCUAUCUCGCUCUGCUGUGUACAAAAAAACUUGGGCAUUUUCAAGUACAAAGCAAAGGAAGCAAUAAAGCAUCCCCAGAUAUUUGAGGAAAGCUGACAUCACAAAGUGGAGAAUUCCUUGACUGUGUGUUCCAGGCACAAGUUCGUUCUUCAGCCUUUUCUUCCUGUUAUUCACCCCAUCACUUUUUAAUUUUUUUUGGAUGUCACAUUUUUCAUAUUUAUAUUUUCAGUUCCGUUUUUAAGGCUGUAUCUUCUCUAUGGAUAAAUAAACCUGUGAAGACGUACUGCCCUUUUCUCGAGGGUGUUGUUUGCUCUGCUUCCUUGAUACCUGCUGACUUUGGGGGCCCCUUUUUGGUAGUGAUUGGUUUUCCUCAAACAUUUGAUGGUUCUGGGUUGUCUAGUGAUUCCAUGAAAAUUGGUUGGCUGCAUAUUUAACCAAUUUUAGGUUAAAAUUGGUUGGCACCCAAAAUAACAGUGGCUUUAACACACAGUAUUCCCUUCUCACAUAAGAAAGGACUCUGGAGGGCGGGGCCCUAAAGAGCCUGUCACCUCCCACUCCACCACACCCGGCGGGUGCCUCAUCCUCAUGGCCCCAGAAGGC
RNAcentral lists this long non-coding RNA (3554 nucleotides) under Homo sapiens (human). Its description in RNAcentral is "HSALNT0274461". The record is from RNAcentral. Lineage: Eukaryota; Metazoa; Chordata; Mammalia; Primates; Hominidae.